GCAAGUCGAACGAGGUGCCUUUGUAGCAAUACGAAGGUAUCCUAGUGGCGAACGGGUGAGUAACGCGUUGGUGACCUACCCCAAAGUGUGGGAUAACAGAUCGAAAGAUCUGCUAAUACCGCAUGUGGUCUUCGGAUUUAGAAACUGAUGACUAAAGGAGCAAUUCGCUUUGGGAGGGACCUGCGUCCCAUCAGCUAGUUGGUGAGGUAAUGGCUCACCAAGGCUACGACGGGUAGGGGACCUGAGAGGGUGGCCCCCCACAAUGGAACUGAAACACGGUCCAUACACCUACGGGUGGCAGCAGUAGGGAAUAUUGCACAAUGGGCGAAAGCCUGAUGCAGCAACGCCGCGUGUGCGAUGAAGGCCUUCGGGUCGUAAAGCACUUUUCUGAGGGAUGAGCAAGGACAGUACCUCAGGAAUAAGUCUCGGCUAACUACGUGCCAGCAGCCGCGGUAAAACGUAGGAGGCAAGCGUUAUCCGGAUUCACUGGGCGUAAAGCGCGUGCAGGCGGUUCGGUAAGUUGGGCGUGAAAUCUCCUGGCUUAACUAGGAGAGGUCGUUCAAUACUACCGGACUUGAGAGUGGUAGAGGAAGAUGGAAUUCCCGGUGUAGUGGUGAAAUGCGUAGAUAUCGGGAGGAACACCAGUGGCGAAAGCGAUCUUCUGGACCAUUUCUGACGCUCAGACGCGAAAGCUAGGGUAGUAAACGGGAUUAGAGACCCCGGUAAUCCUAGCCGUAAACGAUGCAAACUUGGCGUCGGUGGCUUAAACUCCAUCGGUGCCGCAGCUAACGCGAUAAGUUUACCGCC
Molecule: ribosomal RNA, 807 nt
Filed under: uncultured bacterium
Lineage: Bacteria
Description: bacterial SSU rRNA
Rfam family: Bacterial small subunit ribosomal RNA
Source: RNAcentral